Molecule: non-coding RNA, 390 nt
Organism: Neoarius graeffei (lesser salmon catfish)
Lineage: Eukaryota; Metazoa; Chordata; Actinopteri; Siluriformes; Ariidae
Source: the annotation of a RefSeq genome assembly
AUGGCUCAACUAUACAACUUACUGUACACAGUGAGAUACAUCCCACUGAUUCUCACUGUAGCAACAGGCAGUUUUGCAGAUAACAUUGGGCCGAUGGACAAAGAUACCAACAUUGUGGGGAAAGAAACAGACACUGUUACUCUGAAAUGUUCAUAUCAGUCAAGCAGUGAUUACAUUGUACUUUACUGGUACAAACAAUAUCCUAACAGCGCACCACAGUUUUUACUGUAUAAAGGCGCAAAGUCAUCCAGUUCUGCUGUGCGCAACCCUUCUGGUGCGCGAUUCAAUUCAGAAACAUCCUCAGACUCGACUGAACUUACUAUUAAAGACCUACAGAUCUCAGAUUCUGCACUCUAUCACUGCGCACUGAGAGCAGGAGCAGCACAGUAA